GCUAACGUGGUGCCCGGCGAUGCAGGAAUACAGAGGGUGCGAGAUGUAAUCGGAUUUACGGGGCGUAAAGCUGGCGUGGGGGGCUUUUGUAGUCGUAUGUGAAAUCCCUGAGCUUAACUGAGGAAUUGCAUUCGAUACUGGGAGGCUAGAGUAUGGGAGAGGAUGGUAGAAUUCCAGGUGUAGCGAUGAAAUGCGUAGAGAUCUGGAGGAAUACCGAUGGCGAAGGCAGCCAUCUGGCCUAAUACUGACGCUGAGGUACGAAAGCAUGGGGAGCAAACAGGAUUAGAUACCCGAGUAGUC
Molecule: ribosomal RNA, 300 nt
Filed under: uncultured Bacillus sp.
Lineage: Bacteria; Bacillati; Bacillota; Bacilli; Caryophanales; Bacillaceae
Description: bacterial SSU rRNA
Rfam family: Bacterial small subunit ribosomal RNA
Source: RNAcentral